GCGAGAGUGGCGGAAUUGGUAGACGCGCUAGAUUUAGGUUCUAGUGUCGAAAGGCGUGAGAGUUCGAGUCUCUCCUCUCGCACCA
This 85-nucleotide transfer RNA is filed under the name BD1-7 clade bacterium. Its description in RNAcentral is "tRNA-Leu(tag)". It matches the Rfam family "tRNA". Rfam says of the family: Transfer RNA (tRNA) molecules are approximately 80 nucleotides in length. Their secondary structure includes four short double-helical elements and three loops (D, anti-codon, and T loops). Lineage: Bacteria; Pseudomonadati; Pseudomonadota; Gammaproteobacteria; Cellvibrionales; Spongiibacteraceae. The record is from RNAcentral.